GUCUCCAGCCUCCAAAGGGGUAACCCUAAUUGACCCAUUUAGUCUUCACUCACUUCAGACUACCAAAGGGGCCGCCUCCUUCUCCUUCAGUCCUCACUUCUCACCGAACAGAUCAGCCAAACAAACUGAUCGGAGACGCGCAGACGACCUGAAACGCCUAGCCUAGCGGCGCCGCCUGCCUCUCCUCCCUCUCCUUCUUUCUCGAUUUCUCCCGCUCAAAUUCUGUUAAUUUCUUUCUCUGCAAAUCCCCGAGAUGCCGACAGGCAACAUCUGCAAUUUUUCUGGUCAUGUAGCCUAGUCACCAGCUGCGAUUGUUCUGGUUAUCAAGGUUUCUCAAUCAAGUUAUCAAGCACACUUCGAUUAAGAACAGAGUGCUUGUGAAGAUCAACCACAGCCCAGACAAAGCCGAGAGGAGGUGAAGUGGUUGCCGUCGGAGAGCAUGGCUACUGAUGGGAAUGCUAUUGUACCAUCGACGACCGCUCCAGUGGAACCAAACCCGAGAGCGCCUGAUGCUCCGCCUAUAGCUCCGAUUGCUGUAUUUGAAUUAGGACUUUCUAUUUCAAUUGCAUAUUUGUAUUACAAUUUGGACUUCGUAU
Molecule: long non-coding RNA, 596 nt
Organism: Rosa chinensis
Lineage: Eukaryota; Viridiplantae; Streptophyta; Magnoliopsida; Rosales; Rosaceae
Exons: 3
Source: RefSeq, a predicted model, not a curated record